GGCAUGCCUGCAAUUACAACAAAGGAUUAGCGCAAGUCCGAAGAUGGAUAAAAAAGAUAAAAGAUCGACCGACAGACUGAACUGUACCUAAACGGAGAACCGAACUCAGGCCGACAUCGUACAGAGCUUGCUCGGUGACGAGCUCCCUUUGCUUUGGCAUCGACACAUCCUUCAGUCGGUGAAAGUCCUCUCGGUCUCCAGCCUCCACCCGACUAUUUUCGUUCGACUGAGUCCGAGGGUCGCCCCAAUGGGAAGGGAACCCCC
RNAcentral lists this long non-coding RNA (264 nucleotides) under Elaeis guineensis (African oil palm). RNAcentral describes it as "long non-coding RNA (EGUI_LNC025487)". The record is from RNAcentral. Lineage: Eukaryota; Viridiplantae; Streptophyta; Magnoliopsida; Arecales; Arecaceae.